AGAGUUUGAUCAUGGCUCAGAUUGAACGCUGGCGGCAGGCCUAACACAUGCAAGUCGAGCGGUAGCACAGAGAGCUUGCUCUCGGGUGACGAGCGGCGGACGGGUGAGUAAUGUCUGGGAAACUGCCUGAUGGAGGGGGAUAACUACUGGAAACGGUAGCUAAUACCGCAUAAUGUCGCAAGACCAAAGUGGGGGACCUUCGGGCCUCAUGCCAUCAGAUGUGCCCAGAUGGGAUUAGCUAGUAGGUGGGGUAACGGCUCACCUAGGCGACGAUCCCUAGCUGGUCUGAGAGGAUGACCAGCCACACUGGAACUGAGACACGGUCCAGACUCCUACGGGAGGCAGCAGUGGGGAAUAUUGCACAAUGGGCGCAAGCCUGAUGCAGCCAUGCCGCGUGUGUGAAGAAGGCCUUCGGGUUGUAAAGCACUUUCAGCGGGGAGGAAGGCGUUAAGGUUAAUAACCUUGGCGAUUGACGUUACCCGCAGAAGAAGCACCGGCUAACUCCGUGCCAGCAGCCGCGGUAAUACGGAGGGUGCAAGCGUUAAUCGGAAUUACUGGGCGUAAAGCGCACGCAGGCGGUCUGUCAAGUCGGAUGUGAAAUCCCCGGGCUCAACCUGGGAACUGCAUUCGAAACUGGCAGGCUAGAGUCUUGUAGAGGGGGGUAGAAUUCCAGGUGUAGCGGUGAAAUGCGUAGAGAUCUGGAGGAAUACCGGUGGCGAAGGCGGCCCCCUGGACAAAGACUGACGCUCAGGUGCGAAAGCGUGGGGAGCAAACAGGAUUAGAUACCCUGGUAGUCCACGCCGUAAACGAUGUCGAUUUGGAGGUUGUGCCCUUGAGGCGUGGCUUCCGGAGCUAACGCGUUAAAUCGACCGCCUGGGGAGUACGGCCGCAAGGUUAAAACUCAAAUGAAUUGACGGGGGCCCGCACAAGCGGUGGAGCAUGUGGUUUAAUUCGAUGCAACGCGAAGAACCUUACCUGGUCUUGACAUCCACAGAACUUUCCAGAGAUGGAUUGGUGCCUUCGGGAACUGUGAGACAGGUGCUGCAUGGCUGUCGUCAGCUCGUGUUGUGAAAUGUUGGGUUAAGUCCCGCAACGAGCGCAACCCUUAUCCUUUGUUGCCAGCGGUCCGGCCGGGAACUCAAAGGAGACUGCCAGUGAUAAACUGGAGGAAGGUGGGGAUGACGUCAAGUCAUCAUGGCCCUUACGACCAGGGCUACACACGUGCUACAAUGGCAUAUACAAAGAGAAGCGACCUCGCGAGAGCAAGCGGACCUCAUAAAGUAUGUCGUAGUCCGGAUUGGAGUCUGCAACUCGACUCCAUGAAGUCGGAAUCGCUAGUAAUCGUAGAUCAGAAUGCUACGGUGAAUACGUUCCCGGGCCUUGUACACACCGCCCGUCACACCAUGGGAGUGGGUUGCAAAAGAAGUAGGUAGCUUAACCUUCGGGAGGGCGCUUACCACUUUGUGAUUCAUGACUGGGGUGAAGUCGUAACAAGGUAACCGUAGGGGAACCUGCGGUUGGAUCACCU
Molecule: ribosomal RNA, 1528 nt
Filed under: Klebsiella pneumoniae
Lineage: Bacteria; Pseudomonadati; Pseudomonadota; Gammaproteobacteria; Enterobacterales; Enterobacteriaceae
Also listed under: 16 other names
Description: bacterial SSU rRNA
Rfam family: Bacterial small subunit ribosomal RNA
Source: RNAcentral